Molecule: unclassified non-coding RNA, 184 nt
Filed under: Glomeraceae sp.
Lineage: Eukaryota; Fungi; Glomeromycota; Glomeromycetes; Glomerales; Glomeraceae
Description: partial contains 5.8S ribosomal RNA and internal transcribed spacer 2
Rfam family: 5.8S ribosomal RNA (bases 1-71)
Source: RNAcentral
GUGAAUCAUCGAAUUUUUGAACGCAAAUUGCACUCCCUGGUAUUCCGGGGAGUAUGCCUGUUUGAGGGUCGUUAGAAUAAAAAAUCGAGGCGUCGCUCUUUUUUUUAAGGGUGAUCGCGUCGGACUUGUGCCGUCUUUCAAAUGUUAAUUCUUGACAAAGUAGCUUAAAAACCAUCCGUCCGGU